RNAcentral lists this unclassified non-coding RNA (825 nucleotides) under uncultured soil eukaryote. Its description in RNAcentral is "sequence contains 5.8S rRNA gene, ITS2, 28S rRNA gene". The stretch from base 402 to 825 matches the Rfam family "Eukaryotic large subunit ribosomal RNA", at positions 1 to 418 of the family's 3401-position model. The record is from RNAcentral.
AACUUUUGGCAACGGAUCUCUUGGCUCUCGCAACGAUGAAGAACGCAGCGAAAUGCGAUAUGUAGUGUGAAUUGCAGAAUUCAGUGAAUCAUCGAAUCUUUGAACGCACAUUGCGCUCUCUGGUAUUCCGGGGAGCAUGCUCGUUUCAGCAUCAUCACAAUCUCGAAGACAUCCUUUGCUUGUUUUUCAGGCUGAGGCUGUUUUUCGGAUGUGGGCUUUUUUUUUCCUUUCUGGAAAAUGGCCUGAAAAUGAUAGCCGUUCGCCUCCGGUCGUGAGAUCGGUCGUCACCAAGUGCAACAGAUUUUUGUUUUCUCUUGGACGAUUGAUUGCUACGCUGGAAUAGGCAUGAGCGCACCAGGACAUAGCACAGGGAGGGAUCGGAAGAUCUCUCUCUGAAGACUUGAUCUGAAAUCGGGCAAGAAAACCCGCUGAACUUAAGCAUAUCAAUAAGCGGAGGAAAAGAAACUAACAAGGAUUCCCCUAGUAACGGCGAGUGAAGCGGGAACAGCUCAAAUUUGAAAUCUCACUUGGAAACUUGUGAAGAAUUGUAGUUUAGAGAAACGUACGUCGGGGGCAGCGUGGGUAUAAGUCCUUUGGAAAGAGGCAUCAUAGAGGGUGAGAAUCCCGUUUAUGAUCCACAGUCUGCUUCUAUGUGACACGUUUUCAAAGAGUCAGGUAGUUUGGGAUUGCUGCCUAAAAUGGGUGGUAAAUACCAUCUAAAGCUAAAUAUUGGCGAGAGACCGAUAGCGAACAAGUACCGUGAGGGAAAGAUGAAAAGAACUUUGAAAAGAGAGUUAAACAGUACGUGAAAUUGCCAAAAGGGAA